RNAcentral lists this ribosomal RNA (611 nucleotides) under Acinetobacter johnsonii. RNAcentral's name for it is "bacterial SSU rRNA". It matches the Rfam family "Bacterial small subunit ribosomal RNA", at positions 57 to 664 of the family's 1533-position model. The record is from RNAcentral. Lineage: Bacteria; Pseudomonadati; Pseudomonadota; Gammaproteobacteria; Moraxellales; Moraxellaceae.
GCAGUCGAGCGGGGAAGGUAGCUUGCUACCUAACCUAGCGGCGGACGGGUGAGUAAUGCUUAGGAAUCUGCCUAUUAGUGGGGGACAACAUUCCGAAAGGAAUGCUAAUACCGCAUACGCCCUACGGGGGAAAGCAGGGGAUCUUCGGACCUUGCGCUAAUAGAUGAGCCUAAGUCAGAUUAGCUAGUUGGUGGGGUAAAGGCCUACCAAGGCGACGAUCUGUAGCGGGUCUGAGAGGAUGAUCCGCCACACUGGGACUGAGACACGGCCCAGACUCCUACGGGAGGCAGCAGUGGGGAAUAUUGGACAAUGGGCGAAAGCCUGAUCCAGCCAUGCCGCGUGUGUGAAGAAGGCCUUUUGGUUGUAAAGCACUUUAAGCGAGGAGGAGGCUACUUGGAUUAAUACUCUAGGAUAGUGGACGUUACUCGCAGAAUAAGCACCGGCUAACUCUGUGCCAGCAGCCGCGGUAAUACAGAGGGUGCGAGCGUUAAUCGGAUUUACUGGGCGUAAAGCGUGCGUAGGCGGCUUUUUAAGUCGGAUGUGAAAUCCCUGAGCUUAACUUAGGAAUUGCAUUCGAUACUGGGAAGCUAGAGUAUGGGAGAGGAUGGUAG